This 1200-nucleotide ribosomal RNA is filed under the name uncultured archaeon. RNAcentral describes it as "bacterial SSU rRNA". It matches the Rfam family "Archaeal small subunit ribosomal RNA", at positions 91 to 1291 of the family's 1478-position model. The record is from RNAcentral.
CAGUAACACGUAGUCAACCUACCCUAUGGACGAGAAUAAUCUCGGGAAACUGAGGAUAAUACUCGAUAGAUCAUAAUGCCUGGAAUGGUUUAUGGUUAAAAUGAUUUUUCGCCAUAGGAUAGGACCGCGACCUAUCAGCUUGUUGGUGAGGUAAUGGCCCACCAAGGCGAUUACAGGUACGGGCUCUGAGAGGAGAAGCCCGGAGAUGGGUACUGAGACACGGACCCAGGCCCUAUGGGGCGCAGCAGGCGAGAAAACUUUGCAAUGUGCGAAAGCACGACAAGGUUAGUCCGAGUGAUUUCUGCUAAAGAAAUCUUUUGCAAGUCAUAAAACCACUAGUGAAUAAGGGGUGGGCAAGUUCUGGUGUCAGCCGCCGCGGUAAAACCAGCACCUCAAGUGGUCAGGAGGAUUAUUGGGCCUAAAGCAUCCGUAGCCGGCUCUGUAAGUUUUCGGUUAAAUCCAUGUGCUCAACGCAUGGGCUGCCGAAAAUACUGCACAGCUAGGGAGUGGGAGAGGUAGACGGUACUCAGUAGGAAGGGGUAAAAUCCUUUGAUCUAUUGAUGACCACCUGUGGCGAAGGCGGUCUACCAGAACACGUUCGACGGUGAGGGAUGAAAGCUGGGGGAGCAAACCGGAUUAGAUACCCGGGUAGUCCCAGCUGUAAACGAUGCAGACUCGAUGAUGCAUUGGCUUAUUGCCAAUGCAGUGUCGCAGGGAAGCCGUUAAGUCUGCCGCCUGGGAAGUACGUACGCAAGUAUGAAACUUAAAGGAAUUGGCGGGGGAGCACCACAAGGGGUGAAGCCUGCGGUUCAAUUGGAGUCAACGCCAGAAAUCUUACCCGGAGAGACAGCAGAAUGAAGGUCAAGCUGAAGACUUUACCAGACAAGCUGAGAGGUGGUGCAUGGCCGUCGUCAGCUCGUGCCGUGAGAUGUCCUGUUAAGUCAGGUAACGAGCGAGAUCCCUGCCACUAGUUGCUAUUAUUAUUCUCAGGAAUAGUAGGGCGAAUUAGUGGGACCGCUGCAGUUAAUGCGGAGGAAGGAGGGGGCAACGGCAGGUCAGUAUGCCCCGAAACUCUGGGGCCACACGCGGGCUGCAAUGGUAGUGACAAUGGGUUCCUAACCUGAAAGGGAGAGGCAAUCCCCAAACGCUACCACAGUUAUGACUGAGGGCUGUAACUCGCCCUCACGAAUAUGGAAUCCC